RNAcentral lists this ribosomal RNA (468 nucleotides) under uncultured bacterium. RNAcentral describes it as "partial 16S ribosomal RNA". It matches the Rfam family "Bacterial small subunit ribosomal RNA", at positions 28 to 507 of the family's 1533-position model. The record is from RNAcentral.
GACGAACGCUGGCGGCGUGCUUAACACAUGCAAGUCGAACGGAAAGGCCUUGCUUUUGUGGGGUGCUCGAGUGGCGAACGGGUGAGUAACACGUUAGUAACCUGCCCUUGACUGUGGGAUAACUUCAAGAAACUGGGGCUAAUACCGGAUAGGAGCUCCUGCUGCCUGGUGGGGGUUGGAAAGUUUCGGCGGUUGGGGAUGGACUCGCGGCUUAUCAGCUUGUUGGUGGGGUAGUGGCUUACCAAGGCUUUGACGGGUAGCCGGCGUGAGCGGGUGACCGGCCACAAUGGGAGUGCGGUGCGGCGCCGGCUACUACGGGGGGCAGCAGUGGGGAAUAUUGCACAAUGGGCGGAAGCCUGAUGCAGCAGCGCCGCGGGGGGGAUGACGGCCUUCGGGUUGUAAACCGCUUUCGCCUGUGACGAAGCGUGAGUGACGGUAAUGGGUAAAGAAGCACCGGCUAACUACGUG